Long non-coding RNA from Zingiber officinale, 754 nucleotides. RefSeq lists it as uncharacterized. Lineage: Eukaryota; Viridiplantae; Streptophyta; Magnoliopsida; Zingiberales; Zingiberaceae. The transcript has 4 exons. The record is from RefSeq and is a predicted model, not a curated record.
UUCUCUUCAUCGCCGAACCCGUGCCUCUUGAUCGUCGUCCCUUCUUCUCCCCUCUUCUCUUCUUCUCCACUUCGCCUCCUCCAACCGACACCGCGCGAUGCCUCAUCUCCUCACUGAUAAACCCAUCGACCAAGGGAAGACAUGAAGCCCUAGCGUCAUCUUUCCCUCCCCUGCCGUCGCCUCCUCAUCGCGGAGAUCUUGAUUGCACUGAUCACCACGAGAUCACCGCCUGCAGUAGUCUUCCCCUUCCGUGUGCCUCACCAACGUCAAACUCUCUUGGCUACCAGGCGGCCCGAUUUUCUUCUUCUUUCCCCUCUCGCACCUCUGCUCUUGACACAGUCUGCACCAUCGCAUCCGACCACCAGAUUGUGCUACUCUAGGUAGUCUGCGCCCUAGCUUCGAUUCCUCGCCCGUCGCCACCUCAUCGUGCCAGCGCCACCCGAUCACCUCUCGCUAGAAGUCGAGCACCCAAAUCCUUCACUCUGUCGCGCCCUAGCUCCGGCUGUUGCAGCCACCAGCAACCACUGCUAAUUUGGUGACUGUUGGGAGACAUCGGCCACAGGUCUCUGGCAGCAACCUUCUCUGGUAGCAAGGAUCAACAAGAGUGGUUUGGUGAAUUGAGCAGCUUUUCUAAACUUCGGCAGUGGGUUCUUCAGGAUUGAUCAGCAGCAGCUGAGGCAUCAGUUUCGGAACUUUGAUUCAGGACGAGCACUUUGACAUAGCGAUUGUUUAGCUCGAUCUACAUUGAAGGCGG